GACGAACGCUGGCGGCGUGCUUAACACAUGCCAGUCGAACGGAAAGGCCCUGCUUUUGUGGGGUGCUCGAGUGGCGAACGGGUGAGUAACACGUGAGUAACCUGCCCUUGACUUUGGGAUAACUUCAGGAAACUGGGGCUAAUACCGGAUAGGAGCUCCUGCUGCAUGGUGGGGGUUGGAAAGUUUCGGCGGUUGGGGAUGGACUCGCGGCUUAUCAGCUUGUUGGUGGGGUAGUGGCUUACCAAGGCUUUGACGGGUAGCCGGCCUGAGAGGGUGACCGGCCACAUUGGGACUGAGAUACGGCCCAGACUCCUACGGGAGGCAGCAGUGGGGAAUAUUGCACAAUGGGCGGAAGCCUGAUGCAGCAACGCCACGUGCGGGAUGACGGCCUUCGGGUUGUAAACCGCUUUCGCCUGUGACGAAGCGUGAGUGACGGUAAUGGGUAAAGAGGCACCGGCUAACUACGUG
This 468-nucleotide ribosomal RNA is filed under the name uncultured bacterium. Its description in RNAcentral is "partial 16S ribosomal RNA". It matches the Rfam family "Bacterial small subunit ribosomal RNA", at positions 28 to 507 of the family's 1533-position model. The record is from RNAcentral.